This 1604-nucleotide long non-coding RNA is filed under the name Helianthus annuus (common sunflower). RNAcentral describes it as "hypothetical non coding rna". The record is from RNAcentral. Lineage: Eukaryota; Viridiplantae; Streptophyta; Magnoliopsida; Asterales; Asteraceae.
AUGUGUGUGUUUGGUCGUGAUUUACAGGAGCCAAGAAAAGGGCUCUUACAAAGCCCUAAAACUCACAAGAAAUCCAACAAAAAUCGAAGAUAGAACAAGCUAAAAAUUGGGGCUUUUAAUAAAUUUGUGAUCACCCAAGCUAGAAGAUUGCAAGUGGGUUUAUGACAAAUCUUUGAUUUGUAUGAAAUUAAACAUGAUGGUUUUGACUCUGACAAGCUAGGUAGGAGCUUGGAAAUGAACGGGUCAAAUGGAUACAAGUUCAAGUAUGAAGCUCGCAAGGAUGCAAGGUAAGUAUAACUUACACUAGUCAUAUAUUUUAGAAUGUUCUUUUGUCGUAUUGACUACGAAUAAGACAAAUGGUAAUUUAGUCACACGUUGACAAUAAUCGUUAGUUUUAAAAGACGCUUUCCCGCGUAAGACAUAAAGAGCCGAAAGUGGUAAUAAACGGUUUAUAAAUAAAAUGAGCAUACGGUGUUAAAAGGAACGAGUCAUGUAGAUGAGAUGAUAAUAAAUAUUAUCUCGCAAAGAUAAACGGUCAAUUCGGCCAAGGGGGUCAAAAGGUGUAGACAUCACCUUUUGACAAUAUCGACUAAUGAUUCUGGUGUCGAGUUAUAUGUUUACAGGAGUAGAUAUCCAAUGGAUACUCGCAUCGCUCUUAAUUAGCAAUUAUAAAGCAAGGUAUUAAACCGGGUUAGUAAGUUGAUCCGAGCCAGGUAUGUAUAAUAGAUUAACUCAUCAUGUAGAAUUUGAAGUUCUAUGAAAGUUAGGCAAAAUAAAAAAAGGGCAUUCGGUUACCUUAAUAGGUAAACUAAAAGAUUUAAAUUAUUUAGACAGAAUGUUUUGAAAACAAGAUUUGGUUAAAAAUGAGAAAUUAGAAUCAAACAACAGGUUUAUUUGAUAAAAUCACGAACGGGUCAAAUUUGGUAAAAAGGGGUAAUAAGCCGAAGACUUAAAAGUCUUAAAUUUUGUUAAUCCAGAUGUUGGGUCUUGACUCAUUUGAUGGAGGUUCAAUUUACAAUCACGUAGGAAGAAACGGUAGGUCAAACGGAGAAGCGGAUUAAAAGUUAUGAAGGUUUCCGUUUUAGAAAUCGGCAAACUUGGAAAAUCUUGCAGAGGCCACCGUAAGUUACGGUAGCUACCGUAACUUACGGUAGCCUUAAAAAUCUUUACGCUUUAAACCCACUGAGUUACGGUGGAAGAAUCAACAUUCAGGGGCUACCAUAAAUUACGGUAGCCACCGUAAUUUACGGUAGACCCUGUAACAAAAUUUAUUUUAAUCAGUUUCGUUUCCCAGAACUCGUUAGACACGUUUAUAACCCCCGUAAGACUAAAGCAUUUCUUGUUUAUGAAAUGUAGGUACAUUUUGAAUGCCGGAAGACGAUUAAGCUCAUUGGAGAACCGAAUACGAUAAAGAUACAUGCUUCCGCACAGUGUCCCGUCGUAAAUUUUAAACGACGAAUUCAAUUACGUUAUGUCGAAUAACUUAUGAUUUGUAAAAGUUUUAAUAAACCCAUAUUUUUAUAGUAUGUGUAGUCUUAUCUACACAACUAAUUGUUGGUAAUUAUAUGUAAAACCGUUAAAUAGUAAUUAGGGUGUUACAGUUU